AUGGAACCAAGACUGGCUGUUAUCCUUGGACACUACUUGACUGCGUUUUGCCCUUACCUGAGGCGUCAUCCACCUGUAGUUCCUUCAGUUGUGAAAAAACUUUUUGAACUGUUGUCAUCAAUCACUGCCAGCUCUCAUGAUCUUUCAACAGCCCAGAGUGCCCAAUCGCAAAUAUGUUCAUGUAUCAUUCGCGUAUGCAAAGCUGUUGAUAGCACUGCUCUUCCUUCAGAUAUGAAGGAUUUCUUCUCUCCUUACAUCACCGAAGAAGAUGUGCUAGCCUUUGGGAUGCUAGACAGAGCAAAUUAUUCCAUCGAACAGAACAAAGGGGGAGAUGGGAGUCAAGACAGACGCACUAUUGACCCCUUCUGUAGAGGCAAGAGUUCGAGCCUAAGUUCUGAAUCUGAAAUUAAUGCUGGAAGUUCUAGCAGCUGUUCUCUACCUCGUACUCCUUUAAUUGGGGAAUCUUAUUGUUCUCUUCCUACACAAAGGCAAGUGCCUCAUAUGAAUCGGGAACUUCAAAAUUCUUCUACUUCUGUGAAGCAAGUGGUCAAUGACACCGAUAAAUCAAGAUUGGAGGCCCUGGCUGUUAACAAUCUUGAUGAUCAAGAAUACGAUCCUGUUCAGGGUAGUGCUACUAGUAAUUUGGAAAGAUCCACCGAGUCUUUUGUGCCAAAAUGGCUGGGUAAGUUUAAAGUAACGCCAGGCUAUCAAGGAAAGGCCAAGCUACUUCUUUGGGAGCAUAAUCUCCUGUCUGAAGCAUUCAUCAGUGUGACGGCCUGCCCUGGGAUUGAAUGCAAGAAGCAGUUGCUUAUGUCUCUGUUGAACCCUUUGAACAAAAUUUGGACCCAGCCAGAGUGGGAUGAAGAAUACAUGAGUUAUGCAUAUCGUCUACCUGGCCUUCUUUGCAAUGAUCAGUUUAUGAAGACAAUAUGUUUGUUGGUAGAGUCAUUUGAGGAGGAGAUCAAAGGAAGCAAAAUUGAACAUUCUACGGGAACACAGGAAAAAUGCCGUCCAACAUCAACUACCAAUUAUCUGUACUCAUCUACCUUUCCACAACUAAUGCUUGCCCUGCUCUUACGGAUCCUUCAUUUUAUACACAUGGCUUGGAUGGAUCACUCUGCGUAUGAUCUGCCAGAAAUUGUUAGAAGAGCUAAACUCAUGAGUACCAUGGAGAUAUCCACUUUUCUAGCGGAGAAUAAUACUUUACCUGACAAUGAUGGAGUCGACGCUAUUAGGGUGGAUGCUAUCGGAACAUGCUUGCGUAAAAUUCGAGAGACUGGGUACAAUGUCAUAGGCUUGUGCGCGAAUGUUGGAAGAUCAAUUUUCGAACUGGACAGUUCUCUUUUCAACCACGCUCUUGUAGCGGAUAUAAGCAUCAUGGAAUUUGAUCAUUUGGGGAAACUUAUACAGCUCACCUUCAUUCCAUUAGUCAGAUAUUGCCCUCGAGAACGUUGGGAUGAAUGGGUGCUGUUGUUGUUGGAAUAUUUAUUUUUCUACUGUGAAGAUAUCUUUCGUUAUGCGUGGCUCAGUCUUAUACACGAGGGCCGAGCUAAAGUACCAGCUUUCUUUGGUGAUCUAUAUGGACCAGAAGAAAAACUCAAGAAAUUAGAAGUGGAGCUACUGAUUAAGUUCACUCGUUCUGUAUCUUCUUUGCUCAAGGUCUUAGCAUCAGAAGAACUUAAUAGCGGCCUUCCGGAUUUGAAUUGUCCAAAGUCUGACUUGAAAUCCAUAUCUUCCAGCUCUCUUAUGGGGUAUCUUUUACUUCACAAUUGCUUUGGGAGGUUUAGUAUGUACUUGUUUGGGUGUUUGGUGGAUUAUCAAUCAGCUAAGGAAGCACUACCCUUUUUUCAUGCAUUGAUCCGCCUUGCCGUUGCUACUGAUGAUGAGAGACUAAAACAGUUUAUUCUGAAUGAAAUGCUUCCAACUCUUGUCCGGUUUGAUGAUAGGAGUCCCCCAAGUGGAAUCUCACGGUUAAAAUCGGAGUCAAAUUCAGGCAUAGAAGUGAGUUCUAUGAAGGAUAUUGUUUGCCUUUGUCAGGAAAUAUACAACGUUUACUUACAAAAUCAGGUUACUAUGACGAAUGGCGAAAUGGCAGACAGAAAAACCUGUGCGGAUGGAUUCAUCGAUUGGCUCAAUAAGGAAUUGAAGGAUCUUCAUUAUCGUGCGUCUUUGCCUGCUCCAGAUAUUUUCCCAAAGCACGUUGUGUGGAAUUGGGAGUUCAACGAAGAAUUUGACAGAUAUUUUCCUACCUAUAUGGAAAUGUUGCAUGAGGUGGAUACAAUGAAUGACUGUCUGGAGCAUAAAUUUUUAAAUGGUGAUGCUCUUCUUGAGAGAUUGAAUCCAGAGUUUAAGGCAAAGUAUGCCAUUAACAGCUUGCAACAUCCUCAUUUGCGAAUCAUGUCCCGUAUGCUACAGAGAAAGGAGUAUGAUGUAUGCUAUCGGCGACGUACUGAAGAGAUCUACGAUUUUUUGGUCGAACUUAUCAAUUUGAAACCUUACGUUAAGCAAACUGAUUGUUCGGAUGAUGUUAUGGAUCGUCUUGUGGAAAGCUGUCAACCACAAUCUGAUCUUUGGCGAAGUUAUGCACUAAGGGCAGUUGAUAUUUUCCUUGAUUCGUUGUUGAUUUUCUGGGAGCCUCAGUUUCAUCCCUUGAUACGUGAGCGCCACAAGGAGCAACUGCUAAUAAGUGCCCGUGAGUUAGCUGAAGGGUGUGCAAUUAUUGAGCCACUGGAACCUGACCCUGAUGAUUUCUUGGCGCACUUGCGGCCAUAUGCAUCGGUAUACUUUGAGAGUAAGAAGGAACAGUUUGGGUAUUAUACAGCGAAAAAACAAGUACGUCUGCAUGAAGAGUUCGAUAAUUAUUUGGCUACAUGCACAUGGGAUGAUGCUAUUGACUUGUCUUCUUUCAUGGAAAGUGCUCGUAGAGAUGAUGAGAAGUUUGCAGAACUGGAUCCUGAUCUUGCCAAAAUGUCCUUUGAGCGGAUGACCAAUAUUGCUGAGCGGAAACACAAAAUGAACUCUUACACUCAGAGUUUGAGAGAUCUUAAUGAUGAGGUGAAAGGUCAACUUGCAAGCUUGAUGGAUUUGCUGGAUGAAGAAGGCUUUUUCAGUACUGAUGAUUCUUCUAUUGAUUGGGAUAAAGAAUCAUUUAAGAAAUUAUUGGAUCAAUUUAAUGCUUUGACUGGGCAUUGCUUUGAUGGAUGUUAUGCAAUCCAAGCAAUAAUGGAUCUUCAAAAAUUCUUACCAAGAAAAGAUGAUGACACAUGUCAUGACGCUGUUAAAAUGGUUGAUUAUGCAAACGAGGUGUGGAAGGCAAAUCUUGAGCAUUUUUGGAGGGACACAAGGCAUUAUGAACAUAAAUACUACGACAUGCUUAGACAACCUCUUGAGAAGGUGUUUAAAUCAAGCGAGUCUGUAUCAAUGAGACCCACGUAA
This 3435-nucleotide ribosomal RNA is filed under the name Triticum aestivum (bread wheat). RNAcentral's name for it is "partial small subunit ribosomal RNA". The record is from RNAcentral. Lineage: Eukaryota; Viridiplantae; Streptophyta; Magnoliopsida; Poales; Poaceae.